This is a long non-coding RNA of Cyprinodon variegatus (sheepshead minnow), 401 nucleotides long. RefSeq lists it as uncharacterized. NCBI's taxonomy places the organism in Eukaryota, Metazoa, Chordata, Actinopteri, Cyprinodontiformes, Cyprinodontidae. The transcript is spliced from 3 exons. The record is from RefSeq and is a predicted model, not a curated record.
GGCAAUACUUGGUCUGCCUUUGUAUGUCUGUAUCAAAAAUCUACUGCUUCUAAAAAGUCUACAGGAUGGGGCACAAUAUAUUUGGACCUGUUCUAGUUUCCAUUUUCAUUGCCUUAAGCUUAACUGCAGGAGAAGACUUGAUCAGAUUAGCUGGUUCAGAUGGCUACUGUUCUGGAAGAGUUGAAAUAUAUCACAGCGGUGCCUGGGGAACAGUCUGUGAUGAUGGCUGGGGAACAACUCAAGCACAAAUAGUUUGCAGACAGUUAGGCUGUGGCUAUGUGCUGAGCGUUCCUCCGCCAGGCUACUUUGGUGAGGGCACUGGACCGAUCUGGCUUGAUAAUGUGCAAUGUCAAGGAAAUGAAAAUGCUCUUUCCACAUGUUCACACCGAGGAUAUGGAAUA